This 986-nucleotide long non-coding RNA is filed under the name Salmo salar (Atlantic salmon). RNAcentral's name for it is "lncRNA (ENSSSAG00000099938.1)". The record is from RNAcentral. Lineage: Eukaryota; Metazoa; Chordata; Actinopteri; Salmoniformes; Salmonidae.
UUACAGUCCAGUGUGUUUGGGUGGUUAGAGUCCAGUGUGUUUGGGUGGGUAGAGUCCGGUGUGUGUGGGUGGGUAGAGUUCGGUGUGUGUGGGUGGGUAGAGUUCGGUGUGUGUGGGUGGGUGGAGUCCGGUGUGUGUGGGUGGGUAGAGUCCGGUGUGUGUGGUUGGGUAGAGUCCGGUGUGUGUGGUUGGGUAGAGUCCGGUGUGUUUGGGUGGGUAGAGUCCAGUGUGUGGGUGGUUAGAGUUCAGUGUGUGUGGGUGGGUAGAGUCCAGUGUGUGUGGGUGGGUAGAGUCCAGUGUGUGUGGGUGGGUAGAGUCCAGUGCGUGGGUGGUUAGAGUCCAGUGUGUGGGUGGUUAGAGUCCAGUGUGUGGGUGGGUAGAGUCCAGUGUGUGUGUGGGUGGAGUCCAGUGUGUGUGGGUAGAGUCCAGUGUGUGUGGGUAGAGUCCACUGUGUGUGGGUAGAGUCGGUCUGUGUGGGUAGAGUCCAGUGUGUGUGGGUGGAGUCCAGUGUGUGUGGGUAGAGUCCAGUGUGUGUGGGUAGAGUCCAUCGGUGUGUGUGGGUGGGUAGAGUCCAGUACAAGGGAGUUAGUGAAACGGGUCAAAGCAUGUAGUCCAGGUAGCCAUUUGAUUAACUAUUCAGCAGUCUUGUUCUGCAGAGAUAUAGCUUGGGGGGUAGAAGCUGUUCAGGGUCCUGUUGGUUCCAGACUUGGUCCACUGGUACCGCUUGUCGUGUGGUAGCAGAGAGAACAGUCUAUGACUUGGGUGGCUGGAGUCUCUGGCAAUUUUUAAGGCCUUCCUCUGACACCGCCUGGUGUAGAGGUCCUGGAUGGCAGGAAGCUUGGCUCCAGUAAUGUACUGGGCCGUUCGCAUUACUCUCUGUAGCGCCUUGUGGUCGGAGGCCACCACUGUUGUGUCUGGGCUUCUAAACAGCUUCUAACCCCGAAGCCAUAAGACUCCUGAACAGCUAAUCAAAUGGCUACCCGGAC